RNAcentral lists this long non-coding RNA (217 nucleotides) under Mytilus galloprovincialis (Mediterranean mussel). The record is from RNAcentral. Lineage: Eukaryota; Metazoa; Mollusca; Bivalvia; Mytilida; Mytilidae.
GUUUUAAAAGUGUGUAUGGCAUUCUACGUCAAUUAAUAGUUUUUAUUUGGUAUUAAAAUUUAUAAACAUGGUUAUGUUGAUAACAAAAGUAACAAGAACAUUUGAUUUGGAAUGAUCAGUUUUGUUGUAGUCUCUGUCUUACUUUUUACAAAUGCAGUAUGCCGUUUAGCGGAUGGUCCUGGUGUUUGCAAAAGACAGGAAAUGAUCACAAUGUAAG